This 206-nucleotide ribosomal RNA is filed under the name uncultured bacterium. RNAcentral describes it as "partial 16S ribosomal RNA". It matches the Rfam family "Bacterial small subunit ribosomal RNA", at positions 568 to 774 of the family's 1533-position model. The record is from RNAcentral.
UGCGUAGGCGGGUCUUUAAGUCAGGGGUGAAAUCCUGGAGCUCAACUCCAGAACUGCCUUUGAUACUGAAGAUCUUGAGUUCGGGAGAGGUGAGUGGAACUGCGAGUGUAGAGGUGAAAUUCGUAGAUAUUCGCAAGAACACCAGUGGCGAAGGCGGCUCACUGGCCCGAUACUAACGCUGAGGCACGAAAGCGUGGGAGCAAACA